Molecule: RNA transcript, 2386 nt
Organism: Manis javanica (Malayan pangolin)
Lineage: Eukaryota; Metazoa; Chordata; Mammalia; Pholidota; Manidae
Gene: CIAO3
Gene name: cytosolic iron-sulfur assembly component 3
Source: RefSeq, a predicted model, not a curated record
CGCCUUUUGGCGACCUCUGUGCGCGGUGCCCCACGGCAGCGUGGCCGACAUGGCGUCGCCCUUCAGCGGGGUGCUGCGGCUGACGGACCUGGACGACUAUAUCGGGCCGUCGCAGGAUUGCAUCAAGCCCAUGAAGGUGGACAAGAGGCCCCGACGUGGCGUGGCGAAGAUCCACAUCGAAGAUGAUGGGAGUUACUUCCAAGUCAGCCAGGACGGAGGGACCCAGAGGCUGGAGAAGGCCAAGAUCUCACUGGAUGACUGCCUGGCGUGCAGUGGCUGCGUCACCUCAGCAGAGACCGUGCUCAUCACUCAGCAGAGCCACGAGGAGCUGCGGAAGAUUCUAGAUGCCAAUAAGCAGACAGCAGCCCUGGGCCAGCAGAGGCUGGUGGUCGUCUCGGUCUCACCCCAGUCCAGAGCAUCGUUGGCUGCAAGGUUCCAGCUGCAUCCUGCAGAUACCGCUGGGAAAUUAACUGCAUUCUUUAAAAAAAUAGGGGUGCACUACGUGUUCGAUACUGCCUUCUCAAGGAACUUCAGUCUCCUCGAGAGCCAGCGAGAGUUCGUGCGGCGAUUCCGAGGACAGGCCGACCACAGGCAGGCCCUACCUGUGCUGACAUCCGUCUGCCCAGGCUGGAUCUGCUACGCAGAGAAGACCCAUGGCAGCUUCAUCAUCCCGUACCUCAGCACCGCCCGGUCCCCGCAGCAGGUCAUGGGCUCCCUGGUCAAGGACUUCUUUGCCCAGCAGCAGCAGUUGACCCCUGACAAGAUCUACCACGUGACAGUGAUGCCCUGCUACGACAAGAAGCUGGAAGCGUCCAGACCUGACUUUUUCAGCCAGGAGCAUCAGACGCGUGACGUGGACUGCGUGGUCACAACAGGAGAAGUUCUCAGGCUGCUGGAGGAGGAAGGCGUCUUGCUGUCAGAACUGGAGGCGGCCCCGCUGGACAGUCUGUGCAGCAGUGUGUCUUCCCAGGAGCCCACCAGCCACCAUGGCGGGGGCUCAGGGGGCUACCUGGCGCACGUGUUCCAGCAUGCAGCCCAAGAGCUAUUUGGAAUCCAUGUGGAUGAGGUCACCUACAAACCCCAGAGGAACAAGGACUUCCAGGAGGUGACCCUGGAGCAGGAAGGCCGCGUCCUGCUGCGUUUUGCUGCUGCCUACGGCUUCCGCAACAUCCAGAACCUGGUGCAGAAGCUCAAGCGAGGGCGCUGCCCCUACCAUUAUGUGGAGGUCAUGGCCUGCCCUGCAGGCUGCUUGAAUGGUGGGGGCCAGCUCCAGGCCCCUGACAUGCCCAACAAGGAGCUCCUCCAACACGUGGAGAGGCUGUACAACAUGGUCAGGACAGAGGUGCCAGCAGACGUGCCGGGGGUCCAGGAGCUGUACGAGCACUGGCUGCAGGAAGUGCCAGAGUGAAGCCCCGAAGCCAGGCAGCUGACUGGGCAGGGUUGCAGAGGGUCCAGAGGCACCACUCAGUGGGCUCAGUCGGCCUGAGGGAGGAGGACAUGCUGACUGGCCCCCUCGAAGCUCACUUCUGUUGGGGUGUGCUCAGGAGCCCCCACUGCAGCGCCAGGAGAGCCCGGGCCUGCGGCUGCAGCGGCUCGGCCACCCGUUCGAAGCUCGUCUGCUCCCUGCAGAGCACCUCCAGGACCUCAGCUGGGUCCACCUUCCCUGUGAACUUGCGCACAGGUUCCUCUCUGCAGCGAGAGGGGGUUCGUGGGGGCCUGCUCAGCAGGCACUGGCAGAGGGCACUUAAGUUCCAUCGGCCCGAUAACCGGUCCCUGACAUGUCCCUCAGUGUCCAAGUCACUGCCAGGGAGGGCCUUGGGCCUCCUGAGCCACCCUGGGUCAGGCUCAGAUGCAUGCUUCCCAGCCUGCCCCGCAGGAAGUCCAGGGAUGUGGGCCAGUACUCACGCCACCCUCAGGAAAGGGUUGUAAAGGAGCUCCUCGCCCAGAGUGGACGGCACCGUGGGCACAUCAUCCUCGUCCCUCUUCUGGAAUGACCACAGGCUCUUGUCACACACAGGGCUCCACUUUCUGUGCAAACUCAAGGUUGGCCAGCGUGUGCUCGUGGCCACAGAACACCUUCUGGAGAAAGGAUGCACUGGGGGUGCACUCUGUGCCACAGGCAGAGAUGGGGUGGUGCUCACCCCGGCCACCCAGCACCUGUCACACCCCCACACCCGCCCACCCAAUCUCCAGGGCUGAUGAGCUUUCACUCUGGACCCCGGCACAGGGCAAGUGCAAAGUGUGCAUGUGGGUUGUGUCGGGAGGGACGGGCCGCUCACUGUCUCGGGGGGCAGGGUGCCCAGGGUCUUGGCCAGGCUCUGGUACAUCUGCUGAGCUGAGCUCUCCAGGCGCCGGCCACAGCCUGCCACGGUCAGCGCGUCCCCUG